CACCACUCGAGUCUGACUCGGUAUUGGGCGCCGCGCACCGCCGCGCGCCUCAAAGUCCCCGGCUGGGCGGCCCGUCUCCGAGCGUUGUGACACCACAUUCUCGCUAGGGAGCUCGGGUCGCCUGCGGCCGCUAAACACCCCACCACA
This 147-nucleotide unclassified non-coding RNA is filed under the name uncultured Mycosphaerellaceae. RNAcentral's name for it is "sequence contains ITS2". The record is from RNAcentral. Lineage: Eukaryota; Fungi; Ascomycota; Dothideomycetes; Mycosphaerellales; Mycosphaerellaceae.